GCGCUCGCGCGCCGUACCGCGGCCCUUUGGGCCGCUGGCGCUCCGCGAGGGCGCGGCACGAGCCGCGACGGCCACCAGUUUUAGUUAGGUUUGGCGGCCUUGCGAGGCUCUGCCUCGAAGCUGAUCGCCAUCUGCGCUUGGGGCUAAGGGCUUGUAGCUCAGUUGGUUAGAGCGCGCGCUUGAUAAGCGUGAGGUCGGAGGUUCAAGUCCUCCCAGGCCCACCAUCUCCUCGAUCACCAUGUUCGGGAAACACUAUCAGGGGCCGUAGCUCAGCUGGGAGAGCGCCUGCUUUGCAAGCAGGAUGUCGUCGGUUCGAUCCCGUCCGGCUCCACCAAUGCGCGAUCUCGAAGAGAUCGUCGCUUCAACCACCCUCUUGCGAGGUUGGCUAAGCGCGAUCCGAAAGGAUCGUCGCGUCGAGGCGUCGAGUAGAGGCGGUGAGAAAAAGUCAUUCGAGAAAGAGUUUGCGUUGAGCCUCUUGGCUCUGCGCCUGUUCUGUUUGACAUCGUAAAGAGAAGAUUUGUUCGAACUUCAUGGGUUCCGAAGGGGGCCAUGAUUUGUCGCAAGGGACGCUCAAUCCCUUGCCUAUGAUGGGUUUGCCUAACCGCGCCCUCGAACCGAUCUCGAGAAGCUGGUCUUUUUUGUGCCAAU
This 648-nucleotide transfer RNA is filed under the name Mesorhizobium sp. RNAcentral's name for it is "partial 16S-23S ribosomal RNA intergenic spacer". The stretch from base 148 to 221 matches the Rfam family "tRNA". Lineage: Bacteria; Pseudomonadati; Pseudomonadota; Alphaproteobacteria; Hyphomicrobiales; Phyllobacteriaceae. The record is from RNAcentral.